GACAGAACAAAAAGAAGCGGAAACACGACGGGACUCAUUUGAAGCUGCGGAGCAGAAAGACAGCAGUCGCUUAGAAACUCACUCCGACGAUUUAAAAUCUUUCACCGUGUUGUUUGCUGAGGAUGCCUGCAGCAUUGUUGCCUGCAGUCUACCUAAGGGUUGCGUCAGUCACCGGGCAUAAUGACCUUCAGGGACACCGUACAGACGCUGCUCGUCUGUCACCAUGGAUGAUGCGAGGGCAAGAAGAAGAAAGUCACUGGCUCUACUGAAACUGGGAACAGGGUGAAAGUCUCAGUAGCAGCACUCGUGUCCAUCAAAGUGAAACCAGUGAAAUCCUGAACCACUGUGAUGAUCAUGGCCUGUGAAGCUGACUGGAUGUGAAAGGAGUGUCUGGAUCCUGGUUGAGGACCUUUUUUUUGAAGGCAAUCACCUUUUGGAGGACAGCAGAAAGUCUCUGCAGGCAGUGCCUUCAUAAUUCUUGUCUAGUCGAAGGAAGCGUCACUGGUGAUGGUGCUUAUUGCCUGGCUGACCAUUAAAAUAAAAAAAAAAAAGAAGCUGCACUGCAGAGGAGGAUUUUCCCACCAUCUCAGUCUUCGUAUGCAGAGAUUUUUGUUAAUGAAAAGAUCCAACUGUUAGACAGUAUAUUUUGUCUGGAAUAUACAUGUCAUAAAAUGUUUUGACAUAAUGGCACUGACCAACAUUCAAUAAAAGCAUUAGUGUGAAUUUU
Micropterus salmoides (largemouth bass) is the source of this 727-nucleotide long non-coding RNA. RefSeq lists it as uncharacterized. The transcript has 7 exons. The record is from RefSeq and is a predicted model, not a curated record. NCBI's taxonomy places the organism in Eukaryota, Metazoa, Chordata, Actinopteri, Centrarchiformes, Centrarchidae.